Canis lupus familiaris (dog) is the source of this 1901-nucleotide long non-coding RNA. RefSeq lists it as uncharacterized. NCBI's taxonomy places the organism in Eukaryota, Metazoa, Chordata, Mammalia, Carnivora, Canidae. The record is from RefSeq and is a predicted model, not a curated record. The transcript has 5 exons.
UUACAUCCGUAAGGAAGUCAAAUACGAUUAUGCAGAUGAGAAAAUUAUCCUGAGAUGAAGAGCGGCUCAUAUAUGAUAAUUCUGUGCAAGGGGGACUCCCACGCUGAUUAGCAUAUCUUCAAGACCAGACCAAGAUGGAGAAGGCGAGGACCCUGCAAUGGGCACUUCGGGAUGGGCUGACCAGGAGUCCCGCUGGGAGAAGUUGGGCCGAGGUGUCUGCUUCCUGAUGGCCUUUUCUGGAAGAGAUUUUGCCAGUGAUGCUUUGGUCAGUGAAGACCUCAAUGAGAGCCUUGAUUCUGCUGUGUCCAUUGCAACUCCCUGAACCUCAGCUGGCUCUUCUCUCAAAUGAGAGAGUGCUCCAGGGCAGGGCUUCUCAAACUUCAAGGAUCUCCCCCGGCCAGCCAAGCUGAGCAAGGAUUGGUGUGGGGAGAGGCAGAGAGAGAGGAAAGGGAAGGGAGUCUGCAUAGGUAGAAGCUAGAAGCUGCCUGCUGUGUUCACGCUCUUGUGUCUCUCGAACUUCGACAUGACGACAAAUCUGGCCCCAGAGGAUAUUAAGCAAAGACACAUGAGCCUAUAAUUUUCUGCUUCCACGUGUGAGAUGCUAUAAUAAUCAAAAGAAAAUGAGUCUCUAACUACCCCAGCUCUUUGUGCUGCUGCCUUCCUGCCGGCUGCACUAAUUGAAUCACCCGGCACCACUGUAUCAAUGGGCUUGCUUUCCUCAUGUGGAAGAUGGCACAACCGCGUCUACCUCACAAGGGCGUUGCAAGAAGUGAGAAACACAGAUUAAGCAUCGUGGUUGCCUCAAAGAGAGGAGGCGCUUGGAAGUAGCCGUUACCAAAUGUUUACAGCGCUUUACUGUGCCUUGGCUGGCUGUCCCAUCACAGCGUGAGCUAGGCCUGCUUAUCCCAUUCUGUACCUGAAGACACAGCUGUGAGAGAUGAGACUAAAGCACAGAGAAGCUGAGUAAUUCACCCAAGGUCACAUGGCUGGCACAUGGUGAAAGUGGGCUUCAAGCCUAGGAAGUCAGUCCACAGUCUUUUUUGUCCACCACCAGUUCUUCAAAGAUCCAGCUAUACCUCCAUAUCCUUUUUGCCCCUCAAAGUCCUCUAUACUGAAUCCCUCAUUUGUCUCCAAGAAACAUCUUGUCUGUCUGCCCAUUCCUCUUGAAUUGAGCCUCUAGAGAGGAAUGGAAAUUCCUCCAUCCCCAAUGCCACUGUGUACCCCCAGUCAAGGUGGGAGAUUAUUCCGUGUUGCUCUCUACUUGUGCCUCCCUUCCAAUUCGUCAGCAGAUGUCCAGCAAGCAACUGCCGUGUUCACUGGGCAAGUAGCUAAGAGCUAUAAAGAGGAAAUUAUUAUAACUCCAUCUACGUGUAUAGCACUUUACUAGUGUUUGCAAAGCUAAGUGCAGUAGAAAGAGCGCAGGCUUUGGAGCCAGACAGAUCUGAGUUCUGACUUUGGCACUGUCACUGACUAGCCAGGGGUCCUUGGGCUGUUACUGAACAUCUGUGACUCAAUUUUCUCAACUAAAAAACUGAAAAAAAUUUCCCCAAGAUCAGGAACAAAGCAAAGAUUUCUGUUUUUUCUGCUCCUAUUCCACACUGUCUUGGAGAUCCUGGCCAGUGCAAUAAGACCAGAAGAAGAAAUAAAAGACGUACAGACUGGAAAGGAAAAAGAAAACCCAUCUUUAUUCACAGACAUGAUCAUCAUCACAGAAAACCCAAAGAAUCAGCCCUCCCCCACAAAAAAAAAGCUACUCGAACUAAUAAGUCUAGUAAAGUUGAUGGAUACAAGGUCAACUUACAAAAAUGAAUUGUAUUUCUACAUGCUAACAAUAAGCAAUUGGAAAUUGAAGUUAAAAUGGGGACGUCAAUCCCACCUCACAAGAUUGCUGAAAAAAAUAA